GAAGUCGACAUCACGAGCUGCCAUCUGGGGGGUGGCACCAGGCUGUGAAGGAUCCACAGACUGGCAUAUGCAGGAGGAAAUGGGGCGGGCGAGGAGUAAGGACCCCAAAAAGCAGGGGCAGGGAAGGGCCCUCCCAGCGCCCCACUGUAACAGGGGUCUCAUCAAUGCCCCGUGCUCACUGAAUAAAGCACUGCCAGCGAAAGGUGAAAAGAGGAACAAAGAACACUCUCCUGGACGCCACCCACAGAAAGCCACGUGCAGGCUUGGCCCUCACCUUGGGGACCUUGGACACGGAGCUGGUUAUGUCACAUCUGGCUCUCAGAGCUGGGGCAGCGUCUAGGAGGCCUGAUGUAGAAGGCACUCGGCUAAGCCCUAGUUACCGGCACACGGGCACCAGCGCCCCCUCUCAGCAAACUCCACGUCUUAGGAAAUUAGGACUGGAUUUCCACUUCAUUUUGAAAAUAUGGCCAAGAUCCAUCCACGUGUGGCUGACUCAGAGCUGUGACAUUAAGGGAAAAUAAAGGAAAUGAUUGAGCUGCCUUUUCAGACAACACUGGAAUUUUUGAAGAACCCGAGAAUCAGUAUAUUGAAAGGUCUGCGCCAUGGAGUCGCUGCUUGUGAAGCCCGUGUGCAUCCGAAGUGCUGACAAGGACGAUGGAAAGACGCUUCAUUCAUGAGCUCCUUUAAAAUGCCAGACAGGCCCCUCGACAGGGAUGGGGAGAAUUCAGCAAAUGAAUAAGAUUGGCAACAUAAACCCAAACGUUUGGGGAAAAAACUGAUUUUAUUAUUUUUAUUUUACUUUAUUUUAUUUUUUGAGACAGGGUAUCGCUCUGUCACCCAGGCUAGAGUGCAGUGGCUUGAUCUUGGCUCAUUGCACCCCUGGCUUCCCAGGUUCAAGCGAUCCUCAUGCCUCAGCCUCCCAAGUAGCUAGGACUACAGACACACGCCAUGACACCUGGUUAAUUUUCGUAUUUUUUAUAAGACAGGGUUUCCCCAUGUUGGCCAGGCUGGUCUUGAACCCCUGGGCUCAAGCGGUCCGCCCUCCUCAGCCUCCCAAAGUGCUGGGAUUACAGGCGUGAGCCACUGUGCCUGGCAAAAAUGAGACUUUCAAUGUGCUACUUUAAUAAACUAAGUAUUAAUGUUGAAAACCCAA
Long non-coding RNA from Pan troglodytes (chimpanzee), 1153 nucleotides. RefSeq lists it as uncharacterized. The record is from RefSeq and is a predicted model, not a curated record. Lineage: Eukaryota; Metazoa; Chordata; Mammalia; Primates; Hominidae. The transcript is spliced from 2 exons.